GACGAACGCUGGCGGCUUGCUUAACACAUGCAAGUCGAACGGAAAGGCCCUGCUUUUGUGGGGUGCUCGAGUGGCGAACGGGUGAGUAACACGUGAGUAACCUGCCCUUGACUUUGGGAUAACUUCAGGAAACUGGGGCUAAUACCGGAUAGGAGCUCCUGCUGCAUGGUGGGGGUUGGAAAUUUUCGGCGGUUGGGGAUGGACUCGCGGCUUAUCAGCUUGUUGGUGGGGUAGUGGCUUACCAAGGCUUUGACGGGUAGCCGGCCUGAGAGGGUGACCGGCCACAUUGGGACUGAGAUACGGCCCAGACUCCUACGGGAGGCAGCAGUGGGGAAUAUUGCACAAUGGGCGGAAGCCUGAUGCAGCAACGCCGCGUGCGGGAUGACGGCCUUCGGGUUGUAAACCGCUUUCGCCUGUGACGAAGCGUGAGUGACGGUAAUGGGUAAAGAAGCACCGGCUAACUACGUG
This 468-nucleotide ribosomal RNA is filed under the name uncultured bacterium. RNAcentral's name for it is "partial 16S ribosomal RNA". It matches the Rfam family "Bacterial small subunit ribosomal RNA", at positions 28 to 507 of the family's 1533-position model. The record is from RNAcentral.